CCCUUAGAUGUUCUGGGCCGCACGCGCGCUACACUGACGAUGGCAACGAGUUUUUCCUUCGCCGAAAGGUGUGGGUAAUCUUUUGAAACAUCGUCGUGCUGGGGAUAGAUCAUUGCAAUUUUUGAUCUUGAACGAGGAAUUCCUAGUAAGCGCGAGUCAUCAGCUCGCGUUGAUUACGUCCCUGCCCUUUGUACACACCGCCCGUCGCUACUACCGAUUGGGUGUGCUGGUGAAAUGUUCGGAUCGGCCGUUUGUCGCGGUUUCCGCGUCAUGUGGCUGAGAAGUUCAUUAAACCCUCCCACCUAGAGGAAGGAGAAGUCGUAACA
This 326-nucleotide ribosomal RNA is filed under the name uncultured eukaryote. RNAcentral describes it as "partial 18S ribosomal RNA". It matches the Rfam family "Eukaryotic small subunit ribosomal RNA", at positions 1470 to 1796 of the family's 1831-position model. The record is from RNAcentral.